GAAAUGCGAUACCUAGUGUGAAUUGCAGAUCUUUUGGGAGUCAUCGAAACCUUGAACGCACUGCGCCCCCGAGCACAACUCGGGGGCAUGCCCGGCCGAGUGUCGUUACACAUCAAUCACCCGCGCAAAGCGCGGGUGGCUAUGGGCUUCACGGCAGGCGAGCACGGCCGCGUUGCCUUAAAUUCCAAACUCGCCCAACUUAGGCGCCCGAGGAGGCCUGAGUUGCCCCAAAUGCAAGGCAAUCCAUUUUCACCGACCUCGACCGGGCAAGGCCACCCGCCGGACUUAA
Molecule: unclassified non-coding RNA, 289 nt
Filed under: uncultured Pichia
Lineage: Eukaryota; Fungi; Ascomycota; Saccharomycetes; Saccharomycetales; Saccharomycetaceae
Description: sequence contains ITS1
Rfam family: 5.8S ribosomal RNA (bases 1-105)
Source: RNAcentral